AGCCGGCGACGGCAUCCUAUUGCUGAGAAGCUGAUCAAACUUGGUCAUUUAGAGGAAGUAAAAGUCGUAACAAGGUUUCCGUAGGUGAACCUGCGGAAGGAUCAUUAUUGAAUAAACUUGGUUGGGUUGUUGCUGGCUCUUCGGAGCAUGUGCACGCCUAGCGCCAUUUUUACCACCUGUGCACUUCUUGUAGAUUUGAAACACCCUUUCGAGGAAACUCGGUUUGAGGACUGCUAUGCGAAAGCUAAGCUUUCCUUGCGUUUCAAGUCUAUGUUUUUAUAUACCCCAUCAGAAUGUUUUAGAAUGUCAUUAAUAGGCUUUAUUGCCUCUAAUUAAUACAACUUUCAACAACGGAUCUCUUGGUUCUCGCAUCGAUGAAGAACGCAGCGAAAUGCGAUAAGUAAUGUGAAUUGCAGAAUUCAGUGAAUCAUCGAAUCUUUGAACGCACCUUGCGCUCCUUGGUAUUCCGAGGAGCAUGCCUGUUUGAGUGUCAUUAAAUUCUCAACCCUUUCAGCUUUUGCGAGCUGGAUUGGCUUGGAUAUGGGGGUUUGCGGGCUUCUCAGAAGUCGGCUCCNCUUAAAUAUAUUAGCGGAACCUUUGUGGACCAGCUUUGGUGUGAUAAUUAUCUACGCCAUGGUUGUGAAGCAGCUUUACAUGGGGUUCAGCUUCUAAUCGUCUAUUAACUUGGACAAUUUCUGAUAUUUUGACCUCAAAUCAGGUAGGACUACCCGCUGAACUUAAGCAUAUCAAUAAGCGGAGGAAAAGAAACUAACAAGGAUUCCCCUAGUAACUGCGAGUGAAGCGGGAAAAGCUCAAAUUUAAAAUCUGGCGGUCUAUGGCCGUCCGAGUUGUAAUCUAGAGAAGUGCUAUCCGCGCUGGACCGUGUACAAGUCUCCUGGAA
RNAcentral lists this ribosomal RNA (901 nucleotides) under Clitopilus piperatus. RNAcentral's name for it is "eukaryotic LSU rRNA". The stretch from base 340 to 493 matches the Rfam family "5.8S ribosomal RNA". Lineage: Eukaryota; Fungi; Basidiomycota; Agaricomycetes; Agaricales; Entolomataceae. The record is from RNAcentral.